RNAcentral lists this ribosomal RNA (482 nucleotides) under uncultured bacterium. Its description in RNAcentral is "partial 16S ribosomal RNA". It matches the Rfam family "Bacterial small subunit ribosomal RNA", at positions 28 to 523 of the family's 1533-position model. The record is from RNAcentral.
GAUGAACGCUGGCGGCGUGCUUAACACAUGCAAGUCGAACGAUGAAGCCCAGCUUGCUGGGUGGAUUAGUGGCGAACGGGUGAGUAACACGUGAGUAACCUGCCCUUAACUCUGGGAUAAGCCUGGGAAACUGGGUCUAAUACCGGAUAGGAGCGUCCACCGCAUGGUGGGUGUUGGAAAGGUUUAUCGGUUUUGGAUGGACUCUCGGCCUAUCAGCUUGUUGGUGAGGUAAUGGCUCACCAAGGCGACGACGGGUAGCCGGCCUGAGAGGGUGACCGGCCACACUGGGACUGAGACACGGCCCAGACUCCUACGGGAGGCAGCAGUGGGGAAUAUUGCACAAUGGGCGAAAGCCUGAUGCAGCGACGCCGCGUGAGGGAUGACGGCCUUCGGGUUGUAAACCUCUUUCAGUAGGGAAGAAGCGAAAGUGACGGUACCUGCAGAAGAAGCACCGGCUAACUACGUGCCAGCCGCCGCGGUAA